RNAcentral lists this small RNA (1094 nucleotides) under Histoplasma ohiense. RNAcentral describes it as "hypothetical lncRNA". The record is from RNAcentral. Lineage: Eukaryota; Fungi; Ascomycota; Eurotiomycetes; Onygenales; Ajellomycetaceae.
UGAGACUAAACUAUACUGCCAGAGCUGACAUCCCCAAGCCGUGGAAAAAAGCCUUUCCCAGCAUCACCAUCCUGAUGGAAUGAAGCCUUCGAUGUUCGUUCUUGUCUCUUGUCUUUUUGUCUUUUGUGCAUUGACUUUCCCUCGUGUGAGGCUUUUGAUCUGCCCCCUAAGCAUAGAAUACCGGCGAUACAGAUACGAAACAGUAAAAUAAACGGUCGCUCCAGAAAGCCGGGCCAAGCUUGAUAACUCCGGCGGUAGUGUUGGUAUUGGUAUUGGUGUGGUGGUAGUUUUGGUGGUAGUGGCUCUCGGACCGGACAAAAGCGCCCUCAAGCUUCCGAAGAGGUUAAAAAAUCAAAAAGGCCGCGGACAUCAACAUCUCACCCGAAACUCUAGCCACCGGUGCGGAUCAGCGGCGGGAUUGGAAGGAUGAAAUCCGGGAGAGGCUCGACGGACUCCAGGGAGCAAACCCGAAAGAGAGUUGCGACUAAGUGGAGCACGGAUGGGAAACUAACGAAAAUGACGAGAGACCUGGCCUCUGCCGCGGGCGGGUCUAGUAAUCAAUUUAUAUUUAUAUUUUAUGGUUUUUCUUUUUUCUUUUCAUGAUGUAUUUAGUUUCUUUUUUCCUUCGAUGCUGAACUUUGGAGUUUGCGGAGGCGGCUCUACUGGAUAUCCGAUACACAAACGGUACCUGAGGAUCUGGCCUCGAUCGCCUGGAGGGCAGAAUCUUGCGUAAUUCAUUGCCAACGUUUGACUUCUUUUGGGAGGCUAGGGGCCGUGGCGACAGGGCUGGAUGGAUUGGUCUUGGAUUGAUUGCAUCGACGGUAGGGAGGAAAUAGAAUCGUUUGAAGAAUGAUGACUCUUUCGAAGGCGAUGAUCAUGGAGUGAGCAUAACUAGGACUAUUGGUAACUUGAAGCUUGAUGUCCCGUCCAAUGUACUGUAGUAUCCAACUCCUUUCCAAGGUUGAGACAUAUCUCGGUCCAUCACAACUUGAACUUGAACCAAACAGAAGAACAAGAGGAGUGGACGUUAUAUUCUGCCACCCUCUCACGACCACGACCACACCUAGGAAUCAUGAAACAACACAAGGACACGG